UGGGGAUGACGUCAAAUCAGCACGGCCCUUAUGUCCAGGGCUACACACGUGUUACAAUGGCCGGUACAAAGGGCAGCUACCUGGUGACAGGAUGCUAAUCCCAAAAGCCGGUCCCAGUUCGGAUUGGAGUCUGCAACCCGACUCCAUGAAGUUGGAUUCGCUAGUAAUCGCGCAUCAGCCAUGGCGCGGUGAAUACGUUCCCGGGCCGUU
This 210-nucleotide ribosomal RNA is filed under the name uncultured Sphingobacteriales bacterium. Its description in RNAcentral is "partial 16S ribosomal RNA". It matches the Rfam family "Bacterial small subunit ribosomal RNA", at positions 1174 to 1382 of the family's 1533-position model. Lineage: Bacteria; Pseudomonadati; Bacteroidota; Sphingobacteriia; Sphingobacteriales. The record is from RNAcentral.